CCUACGGGGGGCAGCAGUGAGGAAUAUUGGUCAAUGGACGAGAGUCUGAACCAGCCAAGUAGCGUGAAGGAUGACUGCCCUAUGGGUUGUAAACUUCUUUUAUAUGGGAAUAAAAUGUUCCACGUGUGGGAUUUUGUAUGUACCAUAUGAAUAAGGAUAGGCUAACUCCGUGCCAGCAGCCGCGGUAAUACGGAGGAUCCGAGCGUUAUCCGGAUUUAUUGGGUUUAAAGGGAGCGUAGGUGGAUUGUUAAGUCAGUUGUGAAAGUUUGCGGCUCAACCGUAAAAUUGCAGUUGAAACUGGCAGUCUUGAGUACAGUAGAGGUGGGCGGAAUUCGUGGUGUAGCGGUGAAAUGCUUAGAUAUCACGAAGAACUCCGAUUGCGAAGGCAGUUCACUGGACUGCAACUGACACUGAGGCUCGAAAGUGUGGGUAUCAAACAGGAUUAGAUACCCGGGUAGUC
Molecule: ribosomal RNA, 460 nt
Filed under: uncultured bacterium
Lineage: Bacteria
Description: partial 16S ribosomal RNA
Rfam family: Bacterial small subunit ribosomal RNA
Source: RNAcentral